UGUGUCCUCCAGCAGGUCCAGCUUGCCUGUUAGAAGCAGCAUGAAGCAGGCUGCUCUGUAACUCUAACCUUCUCCAAAUUCGUCAGGGAAAUGAUUCAAGGCCUCCUGUGGAUCUUGCCACUUUGUCAAAGCCACUGGGGAACCAAACACACUGGGAGUCCACCCUGUUUCCUUGUGGACGAGCAAGGCAGCUCCUUUCACGUAAGGACCCUGCCCACUCCCAGCUCCACUUGCCUGGGCCACUGUCUCUUGACAAUCUGAACACAGCAUGGCAUUCAAUCUUCAGGAAAGCCCAACCCCAAGGGAGGAAUGCUCCAGUGGUCACACAAGAAAGAGACUAAGCACCAGAGAAGCUAAACAGCUGGCCGAGGCCUUGUAGAACAGCCUAGAAAAAUGAAGAGCUGGAAAAAUUGUUUAUCCAUAGGAAAAAAAAAUGAAAUUGGAUUCUUAGUCAUACCAGGCCAAAAAUCCACUCCAGAUGGAUGAAGAACUUAAAUGUCAAAAGCAAACUUUGAAACUUAAAAAGAAAAUGCUCUUCCCACACUGCCACAGAAGCUCCUCUGUCCAAUUAUUUGUGUUUGUUUUAACGACAGCAACUGGAAGAGUUUUCAAAAUAAAAUCUACCUUCAUCUCUGUAACAACAGACAUAUGGUUGAAUUAAACCUGAAUAAGAAGUUGGUAUAUUAA
Molecule: long non-coding RNA, 687 nt
Organism: Marmota flaviventris (yellow-bellied marmot)
Lineage: Eukaryota; Metazoa; Chordata; Mammalia; Rodentia; Sciuridae
Source: RefSeq, a predicted model, not a curated record